GGGCCUGUAGCUCAGUUGGCUAGAGCGUUCGCCUUGCACGCGAAAGGUCACCGGUUCAAAUCCGGUCAGGUCCA
Molecule: transfer RNA, 74 nt
Filed under: Candidatus Roizmanbacteria bacterium RIFOXYA1_FULL_41_12
Lineage: Bacteria; Candidatus Roizmaniibacteriota
Also listed under: 6 other names
Description: tRNA-Ala
Rfam family: tRNA
About the family: Transfer RNA (tRNA) molecules are approximately 80 nucleotides in length. Their secondary structure includes four short double-helical elements and three loops (D, anti-codon, and T loops).
Source: RNAcentral